ACGAAAAAUAACGAUACGGGACUCAUCCGAGGCCCCGUAAUCGGAAUGAGUACACUCUAAACCCUUUAACGAGGAUCAAUUGGAGGGCAAGUCUGGUGCCAGCAGCCGCGGUAAUUCCAGCUCCAAUAGCGUAUAUUAAAGUUGUUGCGGUUAAAAAGCUCGUAGUCGAAUUUGUGUCCCGCGCCGCCGGUUCAUCGCUCGCGGUGUCAACUGGCGUGUCCGCGGGACGUCCUGCCGGUGGGCUUAGCCCUUUAGGGGGCGGCCCAAUCUCAAUCCCACCGCGGUGCUCUUCAUUGAGUGUCGAGGUGGGCCGGCACGUUUACUUUGAACAAAUUAGAGUGCUUAAAGCAGGCUAAAACAUCGCCUGAAUACUGUGUGCAUGGAAUAAUGGAAUAGGACCUCGGUUCUAUUUUGUUGGUUUUCGGAACCCCGAGGUAAUGAUUAAUAGGAACGGAUGGGGGCAUUCGUAUUGCGACGCUAGAGGUGAAAUUCUUGGAUCGUCGCAAGACGGACAGAAGCGAAAGCAUUUGCCAAAAACGCUUUCAUUGAUCAAGAACGAAAGUUAGAGGUUCGAAGGCGAUCAGAUACCGCCCUAGUUCUAACCAUAAACGAUGCCAGCUAGCGAUCCGCCGACGUUCCUCCGAUGACUCGGCGGGCAGCUUCCGGGAAACCAAAGCUUUUGGGUUCCGGGGGAAGUAUGGUUGCAAAGCUGAAACUUAAAGGAAUUGACGGAAGGGCACCACCAGGAGUGGAGCCUGCGGCUUAAUUUGACUCAACACGGGAAACCUCACCAGGCCCGGACACCGGAAGGAUUGACAGAUUGAGAGC
This 828-nucleotide ribosomal RNA is filed under the name Dicranocara deschodti. Its description in RNAcentral is "SSU rRNA". It matches the Rfam family "Eukaryotic small subunit ribosomal RNA", at positions 470 to 1255 of the family's 1831-position model. The record is from RNAcentral. Lineage: Eukaryota; Metazoa; Arthropoda; Insecta; Coleoptera; Scarabaeidae.